UCAUAAUAAGAGAAAUUAUGAUGUCUGAAUUGACUGACAGCUUUAUGACUCUAUAAAAAAGAAGAAGGAAUCUACAUUAGAUAAAAGAUUGGUCAAAAUAAAAUGAUAAAAACAGGAAAUAAUUCUUACACUUAUAUAGUUCCACACAGCAUCUUUAGUAACAACCAUCUGCCUAUGCUCGUCCCAACCAAAGCCACUAUUGUCUUUUCCAC
This 212-nucleotide long non-coding RNA is filed under the name Gossypium barbadense (sea-island cotton). Its description in RNAcentral is "long non-coding RNA (GBAR_LNC001645)". Lineage: Eukaryota; Viridiplantae; Streptophyta; Magnoliopsida; Malvales; Malvaceae. The record is from RNAcentral.